Molecule: long non-coding RNA, 332 nt
Organism: Falco peregrinus (peregrine falcon)
Lineage: Eukaryota; Metazoa; Chordata; Aves; Falconiformes; Falconidae
Exons: 2
Source: RefSeq, a predicted model, not a curated record
AAGCAUUUGAGGAAGAGGAGGAGGGUGAAGAGGGCGACGAAGCGAGGGCUGAAGUCGUCCCUGAAGACGGUGAAGGCCAGGCAAGUCUCCGUCACGGCGUACCACGACCGCUCCAGCUUUGUCCCCCAUGAUGGCACCGCCGCCUCCUCCAGCCCUGGCAACAGAUCCGCCCGUCCCUGGCGCCGAAUUGAAACCGUUCCUCGCCAUCGCUCACCUCCAUCUCCGCUGCCCGCAGCUGCCCGAAAAAAACUUUGCCCAUAAAUUUCCCCAGGAGAAAAAACCAACACGAAGGCCUGGAUGUAGAGAACCUGCGAGGGAAAAGCAGGGAGGGG